This 241-nucleotide long non-coding RNA is filed under the name Gossypium raimondii (Peruvian cotton). RNAcentral's name for it is "long non-coding RNA (GRAI_LNC001122)". The record is from RNAcentral. Lineage: Eukaryota; Viridiplantae; Streptophyta; Magnoliopsida; Malvales; Malvaceae.
GAAGGUAAAAAUAUUAGGAGUUGAAUUUAAAUACAACACAAAUAUGAUAAAAAGUUCUAAUUAAAAACUAGAUUUUGCAAGGAGAGAAGUAAUGAAAAUCCACUGAACACGCUCGAUUUUGGGCCUUUAACAGAUACAUACUUUGGGAUACUCCGAGCUGUAGUACUUCAUUGCGGUAGCAACAAUCAAUAAAGUAGGCCACCGUGAUCCAUUACGAAAAUCCACAAAGUUGACCAGGGGC